CGCGGUUAUACGAGAGGCCCAAGUUGAUAAAUGCCGGCGUAAAAUGUGGUUAAUAUAACAUUAAACUAAAGCUAAACACCUUCAAAGCUGUUAUACGCACCCGAAGACAGGAAGUACUUCCACGAAAGUGGCUUUAUAAAUUAUUACUCCACGAAAGCUAGGACACAAACUGGGAUUAGAUACCCCACUAUGCCUAGCCGUAAACACAAGCAAUGGUUUACAUAUUUGCUUGCCCGGGAACUACGAGCCCCAGCUUAAAACCCAAAGGACUUGGCGGUGCUUUAGACCCCCCUAGAGGAGCCUGUUCUAGAACCGAUAACCCCCGUUAAACCUCACCCUCCCUUGUUUACCCCGCCUAUAUACCGCCGUCGUCAGCUUACCCUGUGAAGGAUUAAUAGUGAGCCCAAUUGGCAUAGCCUAAAACGUCAGGUCGAGGUGUAGCGUACGAGAGGGGAAGAAAUGGGCUACAUUCACUGAAGCAGUGCACACGAACAAUGCUUUGAAACAACCAUUUAAAGGAGGAUUUAGCAGUAAGAGAAGAAUAGAGUGCUCCUCUGAAACUGGCCCUGAAGCGCGCACACACCGCCCGUCACUCUCCCCAAAAAAAUAAGCAAUAAUAAAUAAAAAGCAAUUGAAAUAAAGGGGAGGCAAGUCGUAACAUGGUAAGUGUACCGGAAGGUGCACUUG
This 687-nucleotide ribosomal RNA is filed under the name Eutaeniichthys gilli. RNAcentral describes it as "partial 12S rRNA". It matches the Rfam family "Bacterial small subunit ribosomal RNA", at positions 516 to 1520 of the family's 1533-position model. The record is from RNAcentral. Lineage: Eukaryota; Metazoa; Chordata; Actinopteri; Gobiiformes; Gobiidae.